CUCCUACGGGAGGCAGCAGUGAGGAAUAUUGGUCAAUGGGCGCGAGCCUGAACCAGCCAAGUCGCGUGAGGGAAGACGGUCCUAUGGAUUGUAAACCUCUUUUGUCGGGGAGCAAAAAACGCCACGCGUGGCGUUCCGAGAGUACCCGAAGAAAAAGCAUCGGCUAACUCCGCGCCAGCAGCCGCGGUAAUACGGAGGGCGCGAGCGUUAAUCGGAAUUACUGGGCGUAAAGCGCGCGUAGGCUGUUGUGUAAGUUGGGGGUGAAAUCCCACGGCUCAACCGUGGAACAGCCCUUGAUACUGCGC
This 305-nucleotide ribosomal RNA is filed under the name uncultured bacterium. RNAcentral's name for it is "bacterial SSU rRNA". It matches the Rfam family "Bacterial small subunit ribosomal RNA", at positions 336 to 638 of the family's 1533-position model. The record is from RNAcentral.